RNAcentral lists this ribosomal RNA (72 nucleotides) under Pestalotiopsis funerea. Its description in RNAcentral is "partial 28S ribosomal RNA". The stretch from base 13 to 72 matches the Rfam family "Eukaryotic large subunit ribosomal RNA", at positions 1 to 60 of the family's 3401-position model. The record is from RNAcentral. Lineage: Eukaryota; Fungi; Ascomycota; Sordariomycetes; Amphisphaeriales; Sporocadaceae.
UUUUUUAAUGGUUGACCUCGGAUCAGGUAGGAAUACCCGCUGAACUUAAGCAUAUCAAUAGGCGGAGGAAAA